Molecule: ribosomal RNA, 372 nt
Filed under: uncultured bacterium
Lineage: Bacteria
Description: bacterial SSU rRNA
Rfam family: Bacterial small subunit ribosomal RNA
Source: RNAcentral
ACGUAGGGUGCGAGCGUUAAUCGGAAUUACUGGGCGUAAAGGGUGCGCAGGCGGUUUUGUAAGCCAGAUGUGAAAUCCCCGGGCUUAACCUGGGAAUGGCAUUUGGGACUGCAAGGCUGGAGUGUGGCAGAGGAGACUGGAAUUCCUGGUGUAGCAGUGAAAUGCGUAGAUAUCAGGAGGAAUACCGAUGGCGAAGGCAGGUCUCUGGGCUAACACUGACGCUCAUGCACGAAAGCGUGGGGAGCAAACAGGAUUAGAUACCCUGGUAGUCCACGCCCUAAACGAUGUCGACUGGUUGUUGGGGGUUUGACACUCUCAGUAACGAAGCUAACGCGUGAAGUCGACCGCCUGGGGAGUACGGCCGCAAGGUUA